AAAAAUAAUUACGAGUCUCCCGGACACGGCGGUUGAUAAUCGUCCGUCUCCUCUUAGCUAAAAACAUUUACGUUUAUAAGAAUUUCGUAAUGAGAGGGCGAGACUGUCUGAUCGCAUUCCUCCGCAACCCCGUUGUCGUCAGGGUCUCGGUCGCUUAGUCUCGCGGGUAUGCCCGAACGAUUUGUGAGCAAAGGAAAAAAAAAUUUAUAUAAUUACGCGCGUCGAUUCUUCAAAGUCAUGCUACGCGAAGUCACGUGUUCCAGAUAUGCACUCGAGAAAAGCAAUGAAGCAAUGAAUAAAAAGAAGAGAAUUUUCGUUUUGCAAAUUUUGUUGGAUGUAUCACGUAUCUGCGAAUCAAUCAUUUUAUUUCGCACUUUUAUGUGGACGGCACAGUUGUAUCGGGAAUACUGACACUUUAUCCAAGGCAAUUGGAAUAACUUAUUUACUACCACUACUGUUUGCAAAUGAAGACACCGUGUUAUCUGCUAAUUAUGGCGUGUUUGCACGAGGCAAUAAUAAGGCAUCUUUAAUCAUAUAACACAGAGAUGCAGAUACUUAUCUUCCUAUUCCUACUUUGUCUGAGGUAUGGACGGAUAUCGGUAGUGGACGACACGGCCUCGGGAUUAACUCUCUCUGAGCACAUUGGACAAGUCUCUUCAGACUCCACGAUUCUAGCGUAAUACGAAAUACAUUGCAACAUGAUUUUAAAUAUAGUAUUCACACCCUUCUCGUAAUAUUUACCUUAGAAAUUCACUUCUGAUGGCUGGAAAAUCACAAUGGGGGCAUACCGUAAAAUCAUCCUCGACGAUGUGCCGUCCCUGUAGAUACGCGAUAGUCAUAGAAAUAAAAGAACUUCAUUGAUUCCUCUUUUCACCAUGUUUUUACACUUAUCACAGGUCACUUCAGUCUCAGGAAGCCUGCUCUUACAGUAUGGACACGAGGUGAGAGGCUCAUCUUCGUUCUCGAUAUCCUUUGUUCUCGGUGGUUUCCUCACGAUUGCCUCAAUUUUCUUGCUGUACUUUGCGUCGACUUGUCCCCGAUACUCGGGGCGCAUCAACAUAGCGGCGAAAUUGAAAGCUGCGUUCUUCAAGCCCGCUCUGUGACAUUCUAUCACGGUUGAAGUUAAUAUCGAAAUGACUCUUGCUGUACUAACGUGAGGGAAACUUCGAUAUGUUGUUGGCCACUCUUAUAAGCAUCCGAGCACCUCGUAAAUGAUCACUUCUUUUCACGUGUAAUCUCACUAGGAUAUAAGAAUGCAAGAGUCUUAAAU
This 1270-nucleotide long non-coding RNA is filed under the name Monomorium pharaonis (pharaoh ant). RNAcentral's name for it is "uncharacterized LOC105833453, transcript variant X11". Lineage: Eukaryota; Metazoa; Arthropoda; Insecta; Hymenoptera; Formicidae. The record is from RNAcentral.